Molecule: long non-coding RNA, 461 nt
Filed under: Sorghum bicolor (sorghum)
Lineage: Eukaryota; Viridiplantae; Streptophyta; Magnoliopsida; Poales; Poaceae
Description: long non-coding RNA (SBIC_LNC000981)
Source: RNAcentral
AGAAAACAAGUAUGGGGGAGAUCCCUCGACAUGCCAAACACACCACUCCACCACUCAGGUACACACUCUGCACACUUUACUUUAUACAUACAUUUAUUUUGGAUUAUGCAGACUACUGUUUCCGACAUGAUAAAAUAAAAGGAUUAAAAUAUUUCUAAUCAUGAUUAAUCUCAAUCUAUGAUAUUUCCUGAAAACUUGCAAUUAUUAUAAAAUCAUUUUAAAACCCUGUGUUACUUAAGUCAAUUGGAAUAUGUGAUGAUAGAGUAUGAGUUUCUUAUUCUUGAUAUCAUUGUUGCUUGGAGAAUUUAUUUCAAAAUAUUCAAAUUUCUAGCUACCAUCCUCAGUGUUUUAUAUGCCUGAUAAAACUGAAAAUAUUAAUUAUGAUUAUAAAAGCUAUCUGCUCUGUAUUGAGUUUGUUCAAAAUGAGUUAGACCCUUGUUGAGAGAUUUAUCAUGCUCCCA